CCUAACACAUGCAAGUCGAACGGUAACAGGAAGCAGCUUGCUGUUUCGCUGACGAGUGGCGGACGGGUGAGUAAUGUCUGGGAAACUGCCUGAUGGAGGGGGAUAACUACUGGAAACGGUAGCUAAUACCGCAUAACGUCGCAAGACCAAAGAGGGGGACCUUCGGGCCUCUUGCCAUCGGAUGAGCCCAGAUGGGAUUAGCUUGUUGGUGGGGUAACGGCUCACCAAGGCGACGAUCCCUAGCUGGUCUGAGAGGAUGACCAGCCACACUGGAACUGAGACACGGUCCAGACUCCUACGGGAGGCAGCAGUGGGGAAUAUUGCACAAUGGGCGCAAGCCUGAUGCAGCCAUGCCGCGUGUAUGAAGAAGGCCUUCGGGUUGUAAAGUACUUUCAGCGGGGAGGAAGGGAGUAAAGUUAAUACCUUUGCACAUUGACGUUACCCGCAGAAGAAGCACCGGCUAACUCCGUGCCAGCAGCCGCGGUAAUACGGAGGGUGCAAGCGUUAAUCGGAAUUACUGGGCGUAAAGCGCACGCAGGCGGUUUGUUAAGUCAGAUGUGAAAUCCCCGGGCUCAACCUGGGAACUGCAUCUGAUACUGGCAAGCUUGAGUCUCGUAGAGGGGGGUAGAAUUCCAGGUGUAGCGGUGAAAUGCGUAGA
This 658-nucleotide ribosomal RNA is filed under the name uncultured Pseudomonadota bacterium. Its description in RNAcentral is "bacterial SSU rRNA". It matches the Rfam family "Bacterial small subunit ribosomal RNA", at positions 47 to 694 of the family's 1533-position model. Lineage: Bacteria; Pseudomonadati; Pseudomonadota. The record is from RNAcentral.